RNAcentral lists this transfer RNA (76 nucleotides) under Prevotella sp. RNAcentral describes it as "tRNA-Lys". It matches the Rfam family "tRNA". Rfam says of the family: Transfer RNA (tRNA) molecules are approximately 80 nucleotides in length. Their secondary structure includes four short double-helical elements and three loops (D, anti-codon, and T loops). Further hydrogen bonds mediate the characteristic L-shaped molecular structure. tRNAs have two regions of fundamental functional importance: the anti-codon, which is responsible for specific mRNA codon recognition, and the 3' end, to which the tRNAs corresponding amino acid is attached (by aminoacyl-tRNA synthetases). tRNAs cope with the degeneracy of the genetic code in two manners: having more than one tRNA (with a specific anti-codon) for a particular amino acid; and 'wobble' base-pairing, i.e. permitting non-standard base-pairing at the 3rd anti-codon position. Lineage: Bacteria; Pseudomonadati; Bacteroidota; Bacteroidia; Bacteroidales; Prevotellaceae. RNAcentral also lists the same sequence under 3 other names. The record is from RNAcentral.
GGUCCGCUAGCUCAGUUGGUAGAGCACAUCACUUUUAAUGAUGUUGUCCCGAGUUCGAGCCUCGGGCGGAUCACCA